This is a non-coding RNA of Arachis ipaensis, 330 nucleotides long. The record is from RefSeq and is a predicted model, not a curated record. Lineage: Eukaryota; Viridiplantae; Streptophyta; Magnoliopsida; Fabales; Fabaceae.
ACUUCCCAUGAUCUAAUGUGCAUGAUCGUUACUGUGUUUGCCAGGAGGCUGAGCUUAAUGAUAGAAAAAUUGGAAAGCUAUGCAAGUAUGCUUCUAAGAAUCCAUUAAGAAUUCCUAAGGCCACUAUAUGCCAGUAGUUUAUUAGCGAUAAUUCGGACUCUUCUAGAACAGUCUCGAACAGAUGAAAUCAGGAUAUUAGGCUGCAACACUCUUGUUGAUUUUAUAGAAUGCCAGACAGAUGGUACGUACGUGUUCAACUUAGAGGGUUUUAUACUUAAACUAUGCCAAUUAGCUCAAGAAGUGGGCGAAGAUGAACGAGCUCUGCAUCUA